This is a long non-coding RNA of Cydia fagiglandana, 124 nucleotides long. RefSeq lists it as uncharacterized. The record is from RefSeq and is a predicted model, not a curated record. The transcript is spliced from 2 exons. Lineage: Eukaryota; Metazoa; Arthropoda; Insecta; Lepidoptera; Tortricidae.
UAAAAUAUACCUACUCUUUAUUGCACACCUCAAUAAAAGAAAACAGAAAUACAAGCAGAGGUAAACAACAGGCGGUCUUAUCGCUAAAAAGCGAUCUCUUCCAGACAACCUUUGGGUAGCGGAA